This 251-nucleotide ribosomal RNA is filed under the name uncultured bacterium. RNAcentral describes it as "partial 16S ribosomal RNA". It matches the Rfam family "Bacterial small subunit ribosomal RNA", at positions 86 to 354 of the family's 1533-position model. The record is from RNAcentral.
ACAAAGAGAGUAGCGCACUGGUGAGUAACACGUGGGAACGUACCUUGAAGUGGGGAAUAGCGUCUGGAAACGGACGAUACUACCGCAUAAUCCCUGAGGGGGAAAGAUUUAUCGCUUUAAGAACGGCCCGCGGAAGAUUAGGUAGUUGGUGGGGUAAAGGCCUACCAAGCCUACGAUCUAUAGCUGGUCUGAGAGGACGAUCAGCCACAUUGGAACUGAGACACGGUCCAAACUCCUACGGAAGGCAGCAG